GUGAUUCCCCAGCUUGGGGCAAAGCGGAGGGGAGGCCGGCUUCAAAGCCUCUCUCAGCCUGUGGAAAAGCGCAGUCUGGAGUGGGGUGGCUGCCAAGUCUGCUGCAUGAAUGUUCAUUUUACUUGGCUUGUGGUCAAACAACAGCAAAAAACCAGGUUAGGGAUUUACUAAGCUGGCCUUGGAGGGAUGUGUGAGCUGCCCGCAGAAGUUUCAAAGCCACUGGAUGAAAUGAAGGGUGAAAGAUAUUUUUACAAACAGGCAUAGUUAUCCCAUCUUGCUGUAACCCUCCCUCUGUGAGUUUUUUCUCUCUGGGGAGAUGUUAACGGGGCAGGAUUCCAGUUUAGAGGAGAAGGGGAGUCCUCGGCAGCAGCCUGCUCUGUCCUGGAUCGGCCAAGUGGAUUCCUCUGUGGGAGAGAGAGGAGUCCAGUUUCUAUGACGAUCCACAGCUGCUCUGCCAAGACUGCCAGCCGAGGUCCCUGGCGGUGCUAAUUGCUAUGCGGACAUCCGUUCAUUAGACUUUGACCUAGAAUUACCAUCAUCUUUCACAAGAAUUCUAGAGAGGACUACAGAUGUUGAAUGCUUUACUUUGCUUAGCUGGAGAUGGAAAACACUAGGAGGAGGUACGUUCAGGUGUAUCCUACCCAAAGAAGUAAAACCAAUGGCCAAGAAUAAACAUUUAUUGAGCACCUAAUAUAUGCCAGAUACUGAGGACAUAGAUAGUAAUAUAAAAACUGUGGCUGUGAAUUAUUUACAAUAGCCAAGACGUGGAACCAACCUACAUGCCCAGAAACUGAUGAUUGGAUAAAGAAGAUAUGGUAUAUAUACACAAUGGAAUACUACUCAGCCAUAAAAAGGGACAAAAUUGGCCCAUUCACAGCAACGUGGAUGGACCUCGAGGGUAUUAUGUUAAGCGAAAUAAGCCAGUCAGAGAAAGACGAACUCUAUAUGACUCCACUCAUAGGUGGAAUUUAGUAUAUUGACAAGGAGAUCUGAUCGGUGGUUACCAG
Molecule: long non-coding RNA, 1007 nt
Filed under: Equus caballus (horse)
Lineage: Eukaryota; Metazoa; Chordata; Mammalia; Perissodactyla; Equidae
Description: lncRNA (ENSECAG00000033660.3)
Source: RNAcentral